This 363-nucleotide ribosomal RNA is filed under the name uncultured Bacteroidota bacterium. RNAcentral describes it as "bacterial SSU rRNA". It matches the Rfam family "Bacterial small subunit ribosomal RNA", at positions 111 to 472 of the family's 1533-position model. Lineage: Bacteria; Pseudomonadati; Bacteroidota. The record is from RNAcentral.
UAACGCGUAUAGAACUUACCUUUUACAGAGGGAUAGCCUUUAGAAAUGAAGAUUAAUACCUCAUAGUAUUGAAUUUUGGCAUCAAGAUUUAAUUAAAGAUUUAUCGGUAAAAGAUGGCUAUGCGUCCUAUUAGCUAGAUGGUGAGGUAACGGCUCACCAUGGCGACGAUAGGUAGGGGUCCUGAGAGGGAGAUCCCCCACACUGGUACUGAGACACGGACCAGACUCCUACGGGAGGCAGCAGUGAGGAAUAUUGGGCAAUGGAGGCAACUCUGACCCAGCCAUGCCGCGUGCAGGAAUAAGGUCCUAUGGAUUGUAAACUGCUUUUAUACAGGAAGAAACCCCCCGACGUGUCGGGGCUUGA